Molecule: ribosomal RNA, 242 nt
Filed under: uncultured bacterium
Lineage: Bacteria
Description: partial 16S ribosomal RNA
Rfam family: Bacterial small subunit ribosomal RNA
Source: RNAcentral
UAGCAGCGACACCGUGAGGUAGAGCAAAUCACAAAACUCGGUCUCAGUUCAGAUUGCAGGCUGCAACUCGCCUGCAUGAAGUUGGAAUUGCUAGUAAUCGCGAAUCAGAACGUCGCGGUGAAUACGUUCCCGGGUCUUGUACACACCGCCCGUCACACCAUGAGAGUUGAGAAUACCCGAAGCCCAUGUCAAAGUGGUCGAAGGUAGGCUUGAUGAUUGGGGUGAAGUCGUAACAAGGUACC